RNAcentral lists this ribosomal RNA (253 nucleotides) under uncultured bacterium. Its description in RNAcentral is "partial 16S ribosomal RNA". It matches the Rfam family "Bacterial small subunit ribosomal RNA", at positions 524 to 776 of the family's 1533-position model. The record is from RNAcentral.
UACGUAGGUGGCAAGCGUUGUCCGGAUUUACUGGGUGUAAAGGGCGUGCAGCCGGGAAGACAAGUCUGAUGUGAAAUCCCGCGGCUCAACCGCGGAACUGCAUUUGAAACUGUUUUUCUUGAGUACCGGAGAGGUCAUCGGAAUUCCUUGUGUAGCGGUGAAAUGCGUAGAUAUAAGGAAGAACACCAGUGGCGAAGGCGGAUGACUGGACGGCAACUGACGGUGAGGCGCGAAAGCGAGGGGAGCAAACAGG